UACUCAUGUUAAAUGGUAUUCAUCUUCUGUAU
RNAcentral lists this small RNA (32 nucleotides) under Arabidopsis thaliana (thale cress). RNAcentral describes it as "ATSL213400". Lineage: Eukaryota; Viridiplantae; Streptophyta; Magnoliopsida; Brassicales; Brassicaceae. The record is from RNAcentral.